This 1345-nucleotide ribosomal RNA is filed under the name uncultured bacterium. Its description in RNAcentral is "bacterial SSU rRNA". It matches the Rfam family "Bacterial small subunit ribosomal RNA", at positions 28 to 1381 of the family's 1533-position model. The record is from RNAcentral.
GACGAACGCUGGCGGCGUGCUUAACACAUGCAAGUCGAACGAUGAAGCGGUGCUUGCACCGUGGAUUAGUGGCGAACGGGUGAGUAAUACGUGAGUGACCUACCUUUGACUCUGGGAUAAGCCUGGGAAACUGGGUCUAAUACCGGAUACGACCAAUCUCUGCAUGGGGUGUUGGUGGAAAGCGUUAUGGAGUGGUUUUAGAUGGGCUCACGGCCUAUCAGCUUGUUGGUGAGGUAAUGGCUUACCAAGGCGACGACGGGUAGCCGGCCUGAGAGGGUGACCGGCCACACUGGGACUGAGACACGGCCCAGACUCCUACGGGAGGCAGCAGUGGGGAAUAUUGCACAAUGGGCGCAAGCCUGAUGCAGCGACGCCGCGUGAGGGAUGACGGCCUUCGGGUUGUAAACCUCUGUUAGCAUCGAAGAAGCGAAAGUGACGGUAGGUGCAGAGAAAGCGCCGGCUAACUACGUGCCAGCAGCCGCGGUAAUACGUAGGGCGCGAGCGUUGUCCGGAAUUAUUGGGCGUAAAGAGCUUGUAGGCGGUUGGUCGCGUCUGCUGUGAAGGCCGGGGCUUAACUCCGGUUUUGCAGUGGGUACGGGCUAACUAGAGUGCAGUAGGGGAGACUGGAAUUCCUGGUGUAGCGGUGGAAUGCACAGAUAUCAGGAGGAACACCGAUGGCGAAGGCAGGUCUCUGGGCUGUAACUGACGCUGAGAAGCGAAAGCAUGGGGAGCGAACAGGAUUAGAUACCCUGGUAGUCCAUGCCGUAAACGUUGGGCACUAGGUGUGGGGGACAUUCCACGUUUUCCGCGCCGUAGCUAACGCAUUAAGUGCCCCGCCUGGGGAGUACGGCCGCAAGGCUAAAACUCAAAGGAAUUGACGGGGGCCCGCACAAGCGGCGGAGCAUGCGGAUUAAUUCGAUGCAACGCGAAGAACCUUACCAAGGCUUGACAUGCAUUAGAUCGCGUCAGAGAUGGCGUUUCCCUUCGGGGCUGGUGUACAGGUGGUGCAUGGUUGUCGUCAGCUCGUGUCGUGAGAUGUUGGGUUAAGUCCCGCAACGAGCGCAACCCUCGUUCUAUGUUGCCAGCGGUUCGGCCGGGGACUCAUAGGAGACUGCCGGGGUCAACUCGGAGGAAGGUGGGGAUGACGUCAAAUCAUCAUGCCCCUUAUGUCUUGGGCUUCACGCAUGCUACAAUGGCCGGUACAGAGGGUUGCGAUACUGUGAGGUGGAGCUAAUCCCUUAAAGCCGGUCUCAGUUCGGAUUGGGGUCUGCAACUCGACCCCAUGAAGUCGGAGUCGCUAGUAAUCGCAGAUCAGCAACGCUGCGGUGAAUACGUUCCCGGGCCU